RNAcentral lists this ribosomal RNA (1490 nucleotides) under uncultured Bordetella sp. RNAcentral describes it as "partial 16S-23S ribosomal RNA intergenic spacer". It matches the Rfam family "Bacterial small subunit ribosomal RNA". The record is from RNAcentral. Lineage: Bacteria; Pseudomonadati; Pseudomonadota; Betaproteobacteria; Burkholderiales; Alcaligenaceae.
GGUUUGAUCAUGGCUGCUCAGAUUGAACGGCGGGAUGCUUUACACAUGCAAGUCGGAGACAGCGGCACGGACUUCGGUGGUGGCGAGUGGCGAACGGGUGAGUAAUGUAUCGGAACGUGCUAGUAGCGGGGAUAACUACGCGAAAGCGUAGCCAGCUGCGCUACGCCCUUCGAAGCGGGGACCUUCGACCUCGCACUAAUGCGACGGCCGAUAUCGGUUAGCUGGAUUGGUGGGGUAACGGCUCACCAAGGCGACGAUCCGUAGCUGGUUUGAGAGGACGACCAACCACCACUGGGACUGAGACACGGCCCAGACUCCUACAGGAGGCAGCAGUGAAAUUUUGGACAAUGGGAAGCCUGAUCCAGCCAUCCCGCGUGCGAUGAAGGCCUUCGGGUUGUAAGCACUUUUGGCAGAAAGGCAGCGCGGGAUAAUACCCGUGCAGCGUGACGGUACCUGCGGGCUUAAGCACCGGCUAACUACGUGCCAGCGGCCGCGGUAAUACGUAGGGAUUGCAAACGUUAAUCGGAAUUACUGGGCGUAAAAGCGUGCGCGAGCGGUUCGGAAAGAAAGAUGUGAAAUCCCAGGCUUAACUUGGAACUGCAUUUUUUUUAACUGCCGAGCUAGAGUGUGUCCCGGAGGAGGUGGAAUUCCGCAGUAGCCUUGAUGAAAUGUGUAGAUAGCGGAGGAACACCGAUGACAGAAGGCGACCUCCUGGGGAUAACACCUGACGCUCAUGCAGAAAGCGGCAGGAGCAAACAGGAUUAGAUACCCUGGUAGUCCACGCCCUAAACGUGUCGCUAAGCUGUUGCGAGGCCUUCGAGGCCUUGAGCGAAGCGCAACUAACGCGUGAAGUUGACCUUAGGAGAUGCGGUCGCAAGAUUAAAACUCAAAGGAAUUGACGGGGACCCGCACAAGCGGUGGAUGAUGUGGAUUAAUUCGAUGCAACGCGAAAUCUUUACCCUUGACAUGUCUGGAAUCCCGAAGAGAUUUUGGGAGUGCUCGCAAGAGAACCGGAACACAGGUGCUGCAUGGCUGUCGUCAUCGUGUCGUGAGAUGUUGGGUUAAGUCCUGUAGGCUUACAACCCUUGUCAUUAGUUGCUACGAAAGGGCACUCUAAUGAGACUGCUGGUGACAAACCGGAGGAAGGUGGGGAUGACGUCAAGUCCUCAUGGCCCUUAUGGGUAGGGCUUCACACGUCCUUCUAAUGGUCAGGACGGGGGUCGCCAACCUUGCGAGGCAAUCCCAGAAACCCGAUCGUAGUCCGGACCGCAGUCACAGCUCGACUUCUGCGAAGUCCCGGAAUCGCUGGUAAUCGCGGAUCAACUGUCGCGGUGAAUACGUUCCAUGGGUCUUCGUACACACCGCCCGUCACACCAUGGGAGUGGAGUUUUACCAAAGUAGUUAACCUAACCGUAAGGAGGGCGAUUACAGUAGGAUUCAUGACUGGGGUGAAGUCAUGUAAGGUAACUCUGUUACUACCUGAGUAUCUA